This is a long non-coding RNA of Lolium rigidum, 536 nucleotides long. RefSeq lists it as uncharacterized. The record is from RefSeq and is a predicted model, not a curated record. NCBI's taxonomy places the organism in Eukaryota, Viridiplantae, Streptophyta, Magnoliopsida, Poales, Poaceae. The transcript has 4 exons.
UCCGAGUUACACAAAGGUACCAACAAAUGUCGCAGCAAACUAUUGAAAAAUUUCACUUGUAUAUUUCUAGGUGUUCGGGUAGCACCAGGCCAUUCUCCAUUUGUUGUCCGGCCGGUGGAGUCAAGCGAAGUUCAGAUGUGGGAGCCCAGCUUCCAAGGUGUAGCAGACUGGAAGACAACCGCUGCUGUUUAACUUGUGUAUUUCAGGCUGUGCAAUUGUGUCUUUCGGAGAGUUCUUAAAUGUUGAUUUCGGGGAAGUUCUAUUUGUACAUAUCUGCAGUCCAUUUUUUGGCACAAAAUAGUUUCGCCGCUUUAUUUUUGUAUGUACAUGUUUAUCUUUCUUUUACAGCAUCAAGCGGUUCAACUAUUAACUUUGAGAAGUUUAAUUGAGAUGCAGGUUUGCGCCGCCAUUGACUUCCAGGAGCGCCGUCAUGGACUCUCAGCCAUUGAGGAAUCCCUCGAAGAUGCCAGCGGCGACCAUCACAUACACCAGCACCGCUGUAAUGUCGAUCCAACCACUGCGGCGCCAAGAGGUGG